GACGAACGCUGGCGGCGUGCUUAACACAUGCAAGUCGAACGGAAAGGCCCUGCUUUUGCGGGGUGCUCGAGUGGCGAACGGGUGAGUAACACGUGAGUAACCUGCCCUUGACUUUGGGAUAACUUCAGGAAACUGGGGCUAAUACCGGAUAGGAGCUCCUGCUGCAUGGUGGGGGUUGGAAAGUUUCGGCGGUUGGGGAUGGACUCGCGGCUUAUCAGCUUGUUGGUGGGGUAGUGGCUUACCAAGGCUUUGACGGGUAGCCGGCCUGAGAGGGUGACCGGGCACAUUGGGACUGCGGUACGGCCCAGACGCCUACGGGAGGCAGCGGUGGGGAGUAUUGCGCAGUGGGCGGAAGCCUGAUGCAGCAACGCCGCGUGCGGGAUGACGGCCUUCGGGUUGUGAACCGCUUUCGCCUGUGACGAAGCGUGAGUGACGGUAAUGGGUAAAGAAGCACCGGCUAACUACGUG
Molecule: ribosomal RNA, 468 nt
Filed under: uncultured bacterium
Lineage: Bacteria
Description: partial 16S ribosomal RNA
Rfam family: Bacterial small subunit ribosomal RNA
Source: RNAcentral